Molecule: long non-coding RNA, 8736 nt
Filed under: Gallus gallus (chicken)
Lineage: Eukaryota; Metazoa; Chordata; Aves; Galliformes; Phasianidae
Description: lncRNA (ENSGALG00010023591.1)
Source: RNAcentral
AUAAAGCAUAGUAGAUAAAGAUAGGUGGGAAGAAACCUGAAGGAAAAUGAAAAAAUGAUAACAUUUGGAAGUCUCAAGGGAAGAAUAGAGAACAAUAAAACAACGUACUUCAAGAAACUCAGUGCAGGUCUGAAUCACUUCAGAGUGUGAGAGCUGAGCAAUAAAUAAUGUGGGCAACAGAAUUUUUAUGCUUGGUGUUCUUCUUUCUCUUUUUAAGUUUAAGUUGACUUAUUCCUGUUGAAAUGUACUCUACAUGACUUGGAGCAGGCUGAGGCAACUGCAGAUUCUAAACAGUAAUCUUUUAUAAUUCAUGCAAGACAAGUAAGACACCAGAAGAUCAGGAAGAGUAUGUCUUUCAACAGGAUAAAGGAACUGUAAGAGGUCAUUCUUUUACGCCGUUGCCUCAAAGCUUGCUGAGGGACACAGAUGAACAAGGUCAAGCAAGUCCUGACCAAGGAUUAAGAAAACCUUCGUCCUGAAGGGACAACAGAUGGACAACGCCUGGGGCAACGAGAGAGGGUAAGUGGCAGCUAAAUGGCCAGGAAACAGUCUUUUGUGUGGACUUAUCUCAAGGGAGACAGCCAUCUCAGGGGGGGCUCACAUGACCAAGCGCCCAGAAAUGUCACGUAGGCAGGGAAGGAGGAGGAUAAAAGAGGGUCCAACAACCAUGAAGUCAGGAUUCUGAUAACAGAUUCCACACGACCUGCCUCUCCCUCCCGGACUUCGCUCUGUGCUCUACCUGCUUGCUGCCUAAGGAUGGCCUCUCUGCUGCUGCUCACCCCUCCGAGAAGGUGUCUGCCAUCAGAUCCCUCACUACAAAAGGCCUGCAUGCUGACUGACUCUCCAGGGCCUGCUACCGGAGACCUGCUGCUUCCGCCCAGACUUCUUCCUGGACCUACUCGGUACCUGCCUGCACCUUCUCGCUGCCUAAGACCGGCCACACCGCUGCUGCUCUUCCCCUGCGCUUUUGCCCCGGACCAUCGGAACGUCGUGCAACGGGACUACUGCCGGAUCCUGGUGACCUAUGCCUUCAGCUUCAGUGAGCACAGUUGUAGAACACUGUAAGGGAAAAUGGUACACCGUCUGGGAUAUGCAAGGGACUUUGGCUCUUAAUUCAGAUUGUUGUAUAGUGUAUUUAAAAAAAAAAGUCAGCAAUGAUUUUCCUAGGAAUCUUUUCAGUCAUAAUAUUACCUUCAUCUUACUCAUUCCCCAGUCAGUCUAAUUCAGGCACUCAAAUAUGCAAGGUAUGUAAAAACUAUGAUAAAUGUAUAUAUCAACACACGUUAUAAGCACCACUUGAUAUUCUAAUAAUCCAAGUAAAGCCUAUUUUUAAUACAUGAGAGCUGCUCUGAAAGUAAUGCCUCCUAUUUGUCCUAUUGUGUUUGUUGGUCCAUGAUGUCACAGGCAGAUGGUGGUGGUAUGGCAGUAGAGGCUGAACCUUCUCACCAAUAUCCCAUUACAUUUUGUUGCCAUGUAACAGAUGGCAACAAAGGGGCAGUCUGACAAAAUGACAUCUGACAGGGAAGUGCUUCUGAAAUAAAGGUCUGGGGUUGAAUUCCUUGAUGUGGAAAAAAUGACACCCAUUGGCAUUCACUGAUGUUUGCUGAAUGCUGAUGGAGACCAAGUAGCAGGUGUGAGCACAGUGACACAGUGAGUGGUGUGUUUCAGCAGUAGCAGCACCAACUGUGUCACCUCAGCUGGUGCAGAUUUUUCUGAGUGCAGCAUGCAGGUUCUUGUUCAUUGCUGGUGAAAAUAUGUAGUUAAUGAUGGUGCCUAUGUUGAAAAACAGGUUUUUUUGUAGCUGAGAAUUUGCUCUAUCAAAUUUGUAGCUAUUGUAGUUUCCAUGGAAAUAAACAGGAGGCAUUACUUUCAUAGAGAAUUAAGUAGAGGAGAAUGACUUCAUUUAUUCCUACAGGUGUAAGUUAAGAAGCAACUGUCAUGAAUUUAACAUCAAUUUGUAGCAAUUAUUGGUCUGGGCAUUAUAUGCUAACACUGCCUGGCUUCAAAUUCAAAUCAAGGAACACUCUGAUGUCAUGAAUUUUAUUUAAAAAUAUUUAUCACUACACACUACUCUGAGGUCUAGAAACAGAUUUAGAACUUGGGGAAAGAUGCAAAUGAAAAAUUCUAUUGGAAAAACAAAACUACUGUUUAAUGCUCGAGGCCUUAGUGGCCUUACAUUUGUAAUUAACCCAGCAAGAACAAAAUCCUCAUACUAAAGGCUAAACAUAACUCAAGGACUCUUUCAGAACAAAACAGUGCUACUGAAAUGCUGAGUUCUGAAUGCUCAUCAGAUCCUGGGUGAAAGCCAAGACAUCUCUGCUUUAUAUCUGAAGAAACUACUAUUAAGAACCUAAGAAUCACUGUCAUUCCAAAGCGUACUUCUGCUUUUUGAUUUCUUGGUUUCAGAACUGAGCUCAAGGCAGUUAGAUCAUUGAGCAGAAAGCUCCUGGCCACUCUGUAGUACCAGUGUAGUCAGUGGGAGCCAGACUUGCUCAGAAAACCAGCAAUUUGUGUCUCAAGUUCUGCACCCAUAGUCAAAAACUGACUCAGUAAGACAGACUGAUUUUCUGUUUUAACUCUCCAAUAAAAACAGUCUUUCCAGAUCCUGAAUUUGUCUUUUACGUGAAAUAGACUUUUCUGCCCAUUGCAUGUAAAUGUAAACUUUCUUGGAGAAACUUUAUAAGUAAGCUCACAGAAUAUUAGAAUUCCAUAGCUAUUCUUUUCUACUUUUUGGAAAAAAAAAAAAAUAAAACCAACAUCUGAUAUGUGGGGAGCAGAAUAGCUAAAUGUUAUAGGAUGUCACAUAUAAUCCAUAUGCAUCUUGAUUAAACUAUCAAUGUAGAACUCAAAUGUCCAUCUCUAUUAUUUCUUUCAGCGUCUUUUCACUUAGUAUUAGAAUGAAGAUAUUAAGAAGGCCCAAAAGGUACAAUAGUGCCCCUUUCCUUUUGCCAACAGUCUUAAGAGUUCCCCCCCCCCCCCAGAUUUCCCCUUCAAUAACAUUUAUUUUGAAGAAUUUUAACAUCAAGGGCAACAUGGUACCCAGUUAUUUGACUAAGUAAGACGAAGGGAAGGCUUCACACACUGCUGCAUAUUAAGUGAAAGUGUAGGAAUAAUAUUUUCCAAGACCUAGAUAGAACUGAAUUUAAACAAACUCUAAUGGUUGACCAAUUUGAGAUGCAAAUGAGAUGUUUCACAUCGAGGCUGUUGUUGAUGAUGGUGCAUUGUUUGUGACUGGAUCUCCCUCAGUGCUUGCGAUUGCUAUUAAUGCAGUCUUGGAAACAUUUUCAAGAAUUGCUUUACAUGGCCCUAGCAGGGGAAAGAGAAAUGGAAAGUCUGCAACAGCAGAACAAAUCUUUCUAGAAUUGAGUUCACUCUGAAAGUUGGCUACCACAUCUAAUAGAACAGGAUGGGCUCAACUGGUUUUGUUUGUUUGUGGCUUGUUUUUUUUUAAUUUAUGCAAAUUAUUUCUGUCAGGUAAUAAGGUAAACAGAAAGAAAUGCUGAGACUGCAGCACAGACUGGAAUACUGUUGGUAAGCUCUGCUUACCAUCUCUGAAUGAGGUGUACUCUUCUUUCCUUCUUGAUUUGAAUGAGAGCUAAGAGAUGUUCCUGUGUUUCAGACCAAACAGGAAGAUUUAUACAACUGUUCUUAAAAUGUGCUUCACCUCUUGUCAACCUCAAGAACAUUUGCCUUUUUUGCAGCUAUUCCCAUUCCUCUCAGUGACUCCCAGAGGUGAUCUAUUCAGCAUUAGUCAAGGCUGUAGUAAGAAUCUUCCAAAAGUAUUUUGCACUCUGCCAUUAAUUCCCUCGCUAUCUGCAAGUGAACCACUUCAGGCAUGGCUGCAACAUACAGUGAAGUAUAGCAUGGAAAUUCCAAGCUGAUACAUUUGCAAAGCACCACUUAAUAAGGAACAGAAAAUCAUGAGAUCUGAAAGCAAUCUGGCCACAUCUGACACCGCUGUGCCAGACCUUGUAAAUUCAUUCUUUUAUCAUUACAGUUCAUUUGCUCAGAGGCUGUGCUGAGAUUGUUCUGGUUCUGAAGCAUCUAUGAACAUUAUUACCCCAAGGAAGUAUGUUUCACACUUCACUGCAGUGUGCACUUCAGUGCAGACAUGCCAACAGCCUGCCCUGGCCUUGAAAUCCUACCUGUAAUCCUACCUGUAAAGUAGGGACAAUGAUUUGACCUAUAAAAUAUAAAGUUGCAGAUAGUAAUGCAUUUUGACAGUUUCCCUACAGUUCAGUAUAGUGAUGAGGGCCGGAGGAAUAAUGCAGAUGUUUGAGCACUGUUGCAAGACUGCAAAGAGUCCUUAAAUUUGAUUCCUCAGAGUCAGUGGAUACUUUUGAAAGCAUCACUGAUUUUUCCAAGUUCUAAGGUGAUUGUAAGGGCGGUACUGAUUUCAGGGCCUGGAUUCAGAAAUAUUAAAAGCCCUGACCAGCCUCACCUGUGAAAUCCUCCCCAAUUCCUCCACAGUCCAUAGGCUCAAGGGCUCCAGGCCUGGAAGUUCAGUCCUUCUCUGAGCCAUGCUGCAGAGAUGCUGGUUCUCAGCACUAACAGGGUCACUCAGCCUCACAUCACAGCACUAUCUCAUGCAGACUUUGUUGGGACUGCCAAGGUGAGGCAAGGUCUCAAUUCUUUUGCCACGUUGCACAGUCCUAACUCAGACCCUUCAGGUGUGUAUGUGGCGGGGAACUCCUUGGCUUUCCCACCCCUCUUCAUGGGCAGCUAGCCCAUGUUGUUCCCUGACAACUAGCAGUAGAAUCAAGAAAGCCUGGGCCCCUGCUUUACAUUUUUAUCGAGACACAUCCUACCCUCUUCAAAUGCCACGUGCAGCUACCUCAAGACUGGUCAGUUGGUUACCUUCAUCCAGUUUCAACCAGUAGCCUCAUGCUGUUUCUCUGGUCUCAGAAUAGUUGAGAAACAAGGUGGCACCAAUGACACCGAGAGGCAAGACACAGAAAGCUUCAGUCACCCAAGUCUUGAUGGCACUGAAUUAGAAAUUACAAUUAUUUGUGUUCUCAAUGUUAUAAAAACCCUGGGUUUGUCCUUCAUGUAGCUAGAAAGGUGAGGAAAUUGAUAGUCUGACCAUGUGGUGAGGAAGACAGAAACAAACUCCAGCCUUUGGAGAAAUUAAUUCUUGGAGACCGAAAACCUAAAAUUAUCCAAAGGAGAAUAUUGUGUAACAUUGUACUGUAAAUCACUAACAGAUACCUCUACACCUAUAUGUUUAUCUUAGAUGCAAUAUAUAUUUUCUUAAUUAUUUUCUGUUUAUCAUAAAACUACCGAUGAUAGGUAGCUUAAGAUUAGAUUGAGACUCAGUUUUUUUGCUUUGCUCUUCAGACUUCUUUAAAACAGGGUUUGAUUUUCUUUUGACCCAAUCUGUCUGAAUUCCAAAUCAAUCCAGAGGUAAAAGAUCGUGUUCACUAGUUUACUCUUUCAGUGUUACAGGUGGUGGAAGAUGACUCCAGCGGGGAGUUGCAAAAUUAGCAAGUUUGUUUACUAACUUUUUAUGCAUACCAUGGAUAUGACUUCUCCUAGUCAUUAUUCCUCCCAUUUUAGGAGAUUCACAUCUAUUCAUGUGCACAUAAGUGUUAGCUAAUUGGAAAGUUUAAGUCAAAAGCAGAUACUUGCAGCUGUCUGCUUGUAUAGAAAGAAACCUCUCCUUGACAGGUUCUACAAAGUAUCAGUUCGGGUCAAGUUGAAUCAUAAUAAUUGUUCUGCUGACUUUAAAAGGAACACACUCUGAUGAUGUUAUUACUGUAGCAAUUUGGUGGAAACCCAAUGCCAUAAAAUCCUGGUUCCUACUGUUGUAUCUUUUUCUACAUGAGCUCUCAUCUGCUUUCUCACUAAAAAUAGAAUAUUGCAUAUAACUACUGCAAAUGCUAACUCUUAGUAUCAAACAUCUUUCUUUCUCCAUCUGGUGUUUUAGCUCAAUUAACAAAUUAGAACAUGAGUGACUGAUGUAGAAAUAAUAGUUAUACCUACUUUCCUUCUCUGAAAGGGCUCAGUUUGUAACAAAAGUGCAUGCACUUUAAAAGUGCACUGAAGGUGUUAGCUCGGUGAUCCUUACUACAUCUCUACAUGGUAGCAAUUUCUCUCUGUUUACUCAUUUUGCACAGUAAGAGAGAGAUUUAAUUUUUGUCAUCUCAUGGCCUCGCACAGGAUGAGGGUAAGUGACAUCUUUUGUGUAGUGGCACGUUUAUGCAUUGUGGCUUUGUGCUUUUCAUGCUAAAUUUAAAAGCCAAAUUUCCAGGAUAGGGCCAGUGCAUUAAAGUAUAAAGUUUACUCAGAGACAUAUAAUAUUUGCAAUUUCAAGAGUUUUCCUGUGUUUCUGUAUACAGUUGUUUCUGCUCUAUGUCGUUUCUCCUUUGGUAUUCCCCUACUUUGAUUACCUCUGCACUCCUUAAGUUACAGAUCCUGGAUCGCUUUAAAAUGGAAAAGCCUCAAGCAGCGUUCAGCAACGUUCUCUCUCUUUUAUUAUUUACUGGAAUGGUCACUGUGAGAUCACUGCCUUUGAAGAAGAGUUAGGACAAAUCAUGAGGUAAAACGACUAAGGCAAUCAAGUGAGCUGGAGUUUGUCAGCAAAACUGCAAGCAGGAUCCAGAGAAAAUCCUGCUUUAAAACCAAAGGAAAUCCAGAUUAAACAGGAGAAUGUGGAGGAAGCACAAUGACAGCACAUGAAAUGUAAGAGAAGGUUCUUCCUGCACAUACUAUCAUUAUUUUGCAUAGAGAUAAAUUCUGUUACUCCAUGUCAAUUCUCUGAGAGUGCUGAAGACCCUGCAAUCACUCUGGAAGAGACUUCCGUAUCUGCUUCUGCAGACUGUCUGGGACCGUUAAAUGACCAAAUAUUUAUCUGUGGUUGAAAAAAUGACAUAUUUCUUCUUGUUUGCUAUCUGGCCAUGUUGUUUGUACAAGCACCCUCAGAAGUGUGCAGAAGUAUACAUACAGCUGCAAGGAUAUCACUGAAAGGUAAACAGACAUUUGAAGAACUUACAAUCAAAUGCUUAACCUGGUGUAACAGUGACGCCAUCGUCUUCAUGCAUGUUAACAAAUCUCAAAUCAAGAGAUUUGAUUUUGAUUGUUUUGCUCAUGAUUGCAGCUGGAAAGAAGCACUAGUGUCUGCAAGAUAAAGAGAGCAAUCAAGUUCCACUUCUAGGUCCUAGGAUGAAAAAAAAAAAAGGCUCCUUCAAAGGAGGAAGCCUAUAACUGAUAUACCACUCUGUCUCCUGAGCAUGACAGUGAAAAAGAAAGGAUUUCAUUGCACCAAGAAGAGGACAACUCCUUCUGAAACUGUUAUCCUCAGAUGGGAACUACUGUGCAAAAAUUCAUCACAUUAUUUGAAAACGACUUGCACAAGUGUAUGCCCUGAAGCAAAACAUGAAUAUAUGUAUGCUACACAUAAUUGGCAUGGUAAUAUUAUCCACUGAAAUAUCUAGGUCUCUACAUCAAGCUAAACAUCACAGAGCUAUAAUAAACAAGUAAAUAAAGAAGUGGUGAUUAGCAAACUGGAUUUAUGUUCUUAAGUACCUGAUGUGCUGUAAGUCAGUUCAUACUCACAUCCUAAAGCAGUUUGUGAAAUGUAUAUCUAUUUAAAUGACAUUUACAAAACCUGUUUAUGCUUUCAACAUGAUAAAUUCAUCUUCAAUUACUUGGAAAAAUAGGGCGAGUAUUUAUAACCUGUUGUUCUUUUUUCAUAAAAGAAAAACCCAUGCCCAGGCAUUCCUAGUAUUUCUUACUUACAGUAUGACAUCCACAGUGUUCAUCAGAGUACAGUGCAGUGCUGUGCACCUGUAGGAACUGUUGCUUAAUUUCACAGCUUAGGUGCCCAAAUUAAAUUGCACUGAUUACCUCUUCGACUCCUAUAUUAAAAAUUACCUUUGGUGGCUUUAAUAUAGAUACUCAGGAAGGUUUAAAUUUUAAAUGGAUGACCAUGGGUUAAGCUUUAUUCCCUGUCUUAUUAGGAAUUAUACUAAAAAAGCUCUAACAGACUCCCCGUGUAUUUGCAAAAAUCUUUCUGGUGACACCUUAUGACAUCUUGUCAAAAUCCUCACUUUAUUCUUGCUAGUUUUACAUUAAGUUGCUGCCUGCUGGAAAUAAGUUUUAUCACAGCAGGAGCCUAAACCAACAUUUAUUUCAGAAAUCCCAAGAAAACAUUCAGAACUAUCACAGUUAUAGAAAUAUGUGCCCCACAUCUUCUGUGGGUGGAUAGAUACACGCCUGCAUCCGGAAGGCUGGAAACAGGUUUCAGCCCCUGACUGCGGAUGGCUCUGCUCAGAAAGCUCAACUACAACAGUCUUCAGCCAUCUGCUUGUUGCAAUCAGAUCCACUUCAAAGUGUCACAAUCUGACCUUUGUUAUGGCAACAAUAACUUGCAACGGAUGCUCAAGCCAGCUGGUCUGCAGAGAUCCUAGAUCGCCUCAGUGAGUUUAGAAUGACCUUUUGCAGUGCAGACACCAGAAGUCAAAGAGGUGAGCUAUCAUGUUAUCACAGAGAUCUCAGCAUGCUCUAAGGAGCUUUUUUUAGCCUAGGACUGAAAAAAGGGACUCCCUUUAGUGAAUCCUUGAGUCAGCUUUUUACUUCUGUGGUAGAGCCCAAAUGCAUUCUCCUUUCUCAGUUUAAACUUCACAUUUAAUAGAAAUUGUUUUUAUAACAAACAUUUAUGUAAAACCUCUUCAAUAAACUAGGUAGGGCUUCCUGUUAUUCUUUCACUGCUGCUUAGAUUUGUGGUGCUACUCUGAG